GAUGAACGCUAGCUACAGGCUUAACACAUGCAAGUCGAGGGGAAACGAUAGAGAAGGCUUGCUUUUUCUAGGCGUCGACCGGCGCACGGGUGAGUAACGCGUAUCCAACCUUCCCACCACUUGGGAAUAACCUUGCGAAAGUAAGACUAAUACCCAAUGAUAUCUCUAGAAGACAUAUGAAGGAGAUAAAAGAUUUAUCGGUGAUGGAUGGGGCGGCGUCUGAUUAGCUUGUUGGCGGGGUAACGGCACACAAAGGCGACGAUCAGUAGGGGUUAUGAGAGGAAGGUCCCCCACAUUGGAACUGAGACACGGUCCAAAAUCCUACGAGAGACAGCAGUGAGGAAUAUUGGUCAAUGGGCGAGAGCCUGAACCAGCCAAGUAGCGUGCAGGAUGACGGCCCUAUGGGUUGUAAACUGCUUUUAUAAGGGAAUAAAGUAAGCCUCGUGAGGCUUUUUGCAUGUACCUUAUGAAUAAGGACCGGCUAAUUCCGUGCCAGCCGCCGCCGUAA
This 508-nucleotide ribosomal RNA is filed under the name uncultured bacterium. RNAcentral describes it as "partial 16S ribosomal RNA". It matches the Rfam family "Bacterial small subunit ribosomal RNA", at positions 28 to 523 of the family's 1533-position model. The record is from RNAcentral.